UACACUCCUACGGGAGGCAGCAGUGGGGAAUAUUGGACAAUGGGCGCAAGCCUGAUCCAGCCAUGCCGCGUGAGUGAUGAAGGCCCUAGGGUUGUAAAGCUCUUUCACCGGUGAAGAUAAUGACGGUAACCGGAGAAGAAGCCCCGGCUAACUUCGUGCCAGCAGCCGCGGUAAUACGAAGGGGGCUAGCGUUGUUCGGAUUUACUGGGCGUAAAGCGCACGUAGGCGGACUAUUAAGUCAGGGGUGAAAUCCCGGGGCUCAACCCCGGAACUGCCUUUGAUACUGGUAGUCUUGAGUUCGAGAGAGGUGAGUGGAAUUCCGGGUGUAGAGGUGAAAUUCGUAGAUAUUCGGAGGAACACCAGUGGCGAAGGCGGCUCACUGGCUCGAUACUGACGCUGAGGUGCGAAAGCGUGGGGAGCAAACAGGAUUAGAUACCCUUGUAGUCCC
RNAcentral lists this ribosomal RNA (448 nucleotides) under uncultured organism. RNAcentral describes it as "partial 16S ribosomal RNA". It matches the Rfam family "Bacterial small subunit ribosomal RNA", at positions 332 to 797 of the family's 1533-position model. The record is from RNAcentral.